This 431-nucleotide long non-coding RNA is filed under the name Mustela putorius furo (domestic ferret). RNAcentral describes it as "lncRNA (ENSMPUG00000029033.1)". The record is from RNAcentral. Lineage: Eukaryota; Metazoa; Chordata; Mammalia; Carnivora; Mustelidae.
CACAAUCAUAGAGAUGGAUAGCAGAUUAGAGGCUGCUGUGGAUUAGGGAUGAAAGGAGAAUGGGUGGAGAUCCAGUAGCAAGUACACCCCUGGAGUUGUGGCCUGAGAAGAAUUACUACACAAACCUAGGAGACCCAGAUUUGAAUCACCUGUUCCAAGGCACAUCUUCCAAGAUAAAACCCAGUCUGCUUAUUGAAUGCAGAGCACAAGAAAUCAGCUGAUGGUGUUCAGAGCUGGGAUGAAGAUGCCUCUGAGCCUUUGCUUCCUUCUGCGCAUGUGGAAGCAAGAAUAGUGCCUCCAGGGCUCUAGCGAGGACCGAAUGAGGUAAUGUGGGCCAUGUACGCUCCCGGCUCAAUAAAUUUGAGUGCUCUCUCCCUUCUCUUUUAUAACGCACUUUCUGAAAUGGAAAUAAAAUAUGAAAACAGAAAAAA